ACCAAAAGCCGCCUGGCUAUGGCGCAUGCUCAGUCGGAGGGGCUCGGAGUUUCCGCGGGUGGAUUCCACGUCUCCAGAUUUUAGCAGAAACUCAAAAGGAAAGUAGAUAGGAAAAGGGAGUCCGACUAUCCGAGCAACCUGCACCUGGACUGGCGCGAGGGAGUGCGGGUUGGGCUCGCCACGCCCCGCGGUUACCGAACCUGGUGGCUGAAGGCCGAGGGCAGAGAUGGAACACGUGCAGCCGCUUUUCCCGCUGCUCUCUGUCCUAGCCGGCCCCCGGCCCACCCUUUGUCAGGCUGUAAGGUGAAGGAGAAAACUGCAGAAAUCUCCGAAGGAAGACUUCCCAGCAAGCUGUGAGCUCGUCUACCUGGCUUACUGAAGGAACGGUUAUGGUGGUCAUUUUGUCAUGGGCCAUUUCAUCCGAGGGUCUUCUGCAGGAGUAUUGGGAGCCGGUUCCUCCAGCACCCAGUGCCCCGGACAGUCUCAGUCCAGAACGGCGUUGGAAAAAUGUGUGUUAAAAGGAGAUGGGAUCCGAGGCUUCUUGCCCUGUGUACCCUGAGGCAAGCGCAUUCUGUUCUCACUCUAUUUCCCAGGCUGGAUCCCGUGCAGUGGCACAAUCUCGGCUCAAAGCAGCCUCAACCUCUUGGGCUCAAGUGAUCUUCCCACCUCAGCCUCCCAAAUAGCUGGGACCACAGGCAUGUGCCACCACACCUGGCUCAUCUGUUUAUGUCUUUAGGAACAUCAGUAUUCAUCUGAGGAGUCAGUGCCUCUCGGAAAGCUGCCAAAAUAACUUGUAGGGUCACUUAAAAACUAAUUAAGAAAUCUUUACCCAGGAACAUUAAGGGAGUUAAGAUAAAAUGUUCCCGAUGCUGUCAGAGAGAUUUGGUCUGGUGCUGACAGAACUACACGAUUUUACUGGCGAGUCACUCGAGCGUUGUGGAGAUGCCGUUUCUGAGGUAAACAAAAUUUUAGAAUUUAAAAAAUAAAGUUGUUACCAUUCA
Non-coding RNA from Macaca mulatta (Rhesus monkey), 1001 nucleotides. The record is from RefSeq and is a predicted model, not a curated record. NCBI's taxonomy places the organism in Eukaryota, Metazoa, Chordata, Mammalia, Primates, Cercopithecidae.